UGCAGUCGAGCGGUAGAGAGAAGCUUGCUUCUCUUGAGAGCGGCGGACGGGUGAGUAAUGCCUAGGAAUCUGCCUGGUAGUGGGGGAUAACGUUCGGAAACGGACGCUAAUACCGCAUACGUCCUACGGGAGAAAGCAGGGGACCUUCGGGCCUUGCGCUAUCAGAUGAGCCUAGGUCGGAUUAGCUAGUUGGUGAGGUAAUGGCUCACCAAGGCGACGAUCCGUAACUGGUCUGAGAGGAUGAUCAGUCACACUGGAACUGAGACACGGUCCAGACUCCUACGGGAGGCAGCAGUGGGGAAUAUUGGACAAUGGGCGAAAGCCUGAUCCAGCCAUGCCGCGUGUGUGAAGAAGGUCUUCGGAUUGUAAAGCACUUUAAGUUGGGAGGAAGGGUUGU
Molecule: ribosomal RNA, 397 nt
Filed under: Pseudomonas sp. As510
Lineage: Bacteria; Pseudomonadati; Pseudomonadota; Gammaproteobacteria; Pseudomonadales; Pseudomonadaceae
Description: bacterial SSU rRNA
Rfam family: Bacterial small subunit ribosomal RNA
Source: RNAcentral